RNAcentral lists this ribosomal RNA (441 nucleotides) under uncultured bacterium. Its description in RNAcentral is "bacterial SSU rRNA". It matches the Rfam family "Bacterial small subunit ribosomal RNA", at positions 958 to 1398 of the family's 1533-position model. The record is from RNAcentral.
AACGCGAAGAACCUUACCUGGGCUCGAACGGCUAUGGACUAUCCUUGGAAACAGGGACUUCUCGCAAGAGACUGUAGUCGAGGUGCUGCAUGGCUGUCGUCAGCUCGUGUCGUGAGAUGUUGGGUUAAGUCCCGCAACGAGCGCAACCCUUGUCCUGUGUUGCCAUCAUUUAGUUGGGCACUCUCAGGAGACCGCCAGCGAUAAGCUGGAGGAAGGUGGGGAUGAUGUCAAGUCAUCAUGGCCUUUAUGUCCAGGGCUACACACGUGCUACAAUGGCCGGUACAAAGCGCUGCAAACUCGCAAGAGGGAGCUAAUCGCAAAAAACCGGUCUCAGUUCGGAUCGCAGGCUGCAACUCGCCUGCGUGAAGCUGGAAUCGCUAGUAAUGCCGUAUCAGAACGAUGGCGUGAAUACGUUCCCGGGCCUUGUACACACCGUAGUAC